RNAcentral lists this ribosomal RNA (720 nucleotides) under Caulobacter vibrioides. RNAcentral's name for it is "bacterial SSU rRNA". It matches the Rfam family "Bacterial small subunit ribosomal RNA", at positions 67 to 833 of the family's 1533-position model. The record is from RNAcentral. Lineage: Bacteria; Pseudomonadati; Pseudomonadota; Alphaproteobacteria; Caulobacterales; Caulobacteraceae.
CGGAUCCUUCGGGAUUAGUGGCGGACGGGUGAGUAACACGUGGGAACGUGCCCUUUGGUUCGGAACAACUCAGGGAAACUUGAGCUAAUACCGGAUGUGCCCUUCGGGGGAAAGAUUUAUCGCCAUUGGAGCGGCCCGCGUCUGAUUAGCUAGUUGGUGAGGUAAAGGCUCACCAAGGCGACGAUCAGUAGCUGGUCUGAGAGGAUGAUCAGCCACAUUGGGACUGAGACACGGCCCAAACUCCUACGGGAGGCAGCAGUGGGGAAUCUUGCGCAAUGGGCGAAAGCCUGACGCAGCCAUGCCGCGUGAAUGAUGAAGGUCUUAGGAUUGUAAAAUUCUUUCACCGGGGACGAUAAUGACGGUACCCGGAGAAGAAGCCCCGGCUAACUUCGUGCCAGCAGCCGCGGUAAUACGAAGGGGGCUAGCGUUGCUCGGAAUUACUGGGCGUAAAGGGAGCGUAGGCGGACUGUUUAGUCAGAGGUGAAAGCCCAGGGCUCAACCUUGGAAUUGCCUUUGAUACUGGCAGUCUUGAGUACGGAAGAGGUAUGUGGAACUCCGAGUGUAGAGGUGAAAUUCGUAGAUAUUCGGAAGAACACCAGUGGCGAAGGCGACAUACUGGUCCGUUACUGACGCUGAGGCUCGAAAGCGUGGGGAGCAAACAGGAUUAGAUACCCUGGUAGUCCACGCUGUAAACGAUGAGUGCUAGUUGUCGGCAGGCAU